Molecule: long non-coding RNA, 2443 nt
Filed under: Zea mays
Lineage: Eukaryota; Viridiplantae; Streptophyta; Magnoliopsida; Poales; Poaceae
Description: long non-coding RNA (ZMAY_LNC000266)
Source: RNAcentral
AGGAAGAUGAGUAGAUGACAAUAUUGUAAGCAUUGCAUCUCAUGAGUGUCACACCCGGGUUUUAGGGCACCAAGACCCGGGCGCGAACAUAAUCACCAGGUGUGCUGGGACCAAGUCUCACACAUAUGAUGAAUCAUGGCACAGGAUCGAAUGUCACAUCUUUACUAUAUAAUAGGAGUUCUAUACAAAAUAAAUAAAUAAUUACAUUAUAAGGAGACAACGGUCCAGCAACCCAAAGUUGACUGGGAGACGACGGCCUAGACCUCUCACGAACUCGACACAGCAUCCUCCAAGCGCCUCAUCCUGCGGUACCUGUUCUUGACCUGUGGGGGGGUGUGAGACAGCAAGAGUGAGCUCACAUACGUUCAUCGCUCAACAAGUUGUGGGGAAUAAUGUGCAUGAACUCGCCAAAGGUGGGAGCUCAUGUGAAGUGUAAGGCUUACCAAAGAGGAUGGUUAGAGCUGAGCAUUGCUUUUAAAGUUGGUCAAAAUUUUAGUAGCAAUUACUAAGUAUAAGUAAAUACCAACCCAAUUAAGUAGUAGAACAAAAGUAACAACAUCACCUGCGAUGCAAUGCAUAUGACAAAUUGAAUUUAGUUCCAUAAAUUAAUCAUGUGAGUGUCCGAGCUGCUCAUGACCGUGAGCACGGCUAGUAUACCAGUUUUACACUCUGCAGAGGUUGCGCAUCUUUACCCACAAGUCAUGUUACCCAUCUGCCAAGGGAUCGCGACUUCCCAUACACCUCUACCGAGGAGGCGAGGCAGGGUAACACUACGAGGCCUUUACAAAGUUCCACUAGCUUCAGAAAACCCGCUACAGUUUAUAGGAAGCUCCAAUGCAGGAAUCCCUUGCAGGACCGCCAUCGCAGCAAAAUCCUCCCGAGGGCCUCCCUACACUGACCACUCCCCUACUGCCCUUGCCCCUUUCGGGUAAGGUAGUCUUCCACUAGCUUUCCUAAUUAAUCGGCCAAGGGCGUCCCAUUAAACCCUUGUGGUAGCACUGUUUUCCCGGGUGGUUCUCCAUGUUCCAAUUAACAUAAUGAUCUUAUCAUGAACAGUAAAUAGCAACUGAUAACAAAAGUAUGAAUAAUAUGUAUCUCAAUGCCCAAAUCCACAUAUAGCACUAGCAAGUACUACCCAGAAAGUUUAGUGGUAAACAAGGCAUAAAGAUAGACAAACUAGGGUAACCUAUUAGGUCCCAUCAAAUUAACCUAUGCAGAUCAUUAUGAUUAAUUAGAACAUGAGUGGGUAAAAGAAGUGAUCAAGGGCACAACUUGCCUGGCACUUGAGAUUCCAGGUACCAACUUGCUCAUCAGGUGACUCGUGACCUCACGCUAGUCGUAGCAAUACAAACAAACAGUGUAUAGGAAAAAUUAACAUCACACCAAACAUAUAUGCAAAAUACAUAUUGAUGAUCUACAUAUUAAAAUAAAAUCACAGGAACAAGAAUUAUUAAUUUUGAAGUUAUAGAUUUUAAGUUAUGGACUUCCAAAAGUUCUAGGUGCUAGGUACAAGAUUAAUUAGGAGAUUAAUUUUAAUAUGACUUUCAUGUCAAAACAGUGAAAUAAAAUGAUAAACAAUAAUAUUACAAAAUUAAUGUCACUGAAAUGGAUCAAUUCGGAAUUAGAAUGGAUUUUCUAUGAAUUAAAUAAGUUUCUAAAAUUAUUUUAACACUAAAAUCAUUUUCUAAUUGAAUUUAUUUGGUUUCCUACUCCUCUGUACUGCGCGCAUCAAUCCAGAGAACUGUAGGGUGCCAUCUGUAAAUUCUUGGGCCAUCAUGCAAUUACUUUAGAACUGACUAGGAUCGCGGGUUGAUUAGCCAAUUGUUCAGGGUCUCUUUUACAAACUCACAAGCUCCGAAGGGGUAUGGGGUCACAAGAGCCGUCUGAUCACCAUCGAACCACCCUGAUCAGACCCCGAGGGUUUAUGAAGCUGUACGCAAUCAAGGUCGUUGGAUCAACGACCAGGCGCCUGGAUUUUAAGUCCUUAGGUCGAUUAUCACGCGCCGGAUCCACAUCGGACGACCGAGAAGAGUUCAGGCCAAACCAGAAUCCGGGAUCAAAUCCCAGCCCUUCAUCUGGGAUUGACGGCCCAUAUUCCACCCCCAUCGCCCAAGCCUGGUAACGGUGCCGCUGCCUGAGGCCACGGCGAGGCAUCGCCGGUGAGCCUACUGGAUGGCAGUCCUGUGCUCUAGAUCCCAAUCCGGGGAGCGCUACACGGAGACGAGAUCCCAACAACAGAUAUAGGUUCACGUACCAAUGGUGAGGAUGCUGAUAUUCUCCGACCACGGCGCUAGUGGUUCCGCGGCAUCUGGCUUUCUCUCUCCAUCUCUCAGUUUGAUCUCUCCGCUGCUUGCUCGGAGGCCUCACGAGUCUCGACGAUGGCCGAGGGAGUCACAACCCGCGUAUAUUUAUACGCCCAGAACUAAAGGAGAUAGGAUCGGCU